AUACUUUCAUGCUUGUGAGUGAAUAGUUGAGUGUUCUGCAAAAAAUGACCAAAACAUUAUUUUUUUUUCAUUUUUUACUACUAAAAUCAUUUACUAACAUUUUACUUGUAUUAACUUUUACUUCAAAGGCAUUUACUUUAUACUCUUUUACUUUAUGCCAUUUACUUUAUACUUUAUAUUUAGUCUCCCAUAUCAUAUUAUUUGUAAUUUUUUUCAUUUGUUUUUUGUCCAUUUGGACUUUUUCUUUUAUGACCUUG
This 257-nucleotide long non-coding RNA is filed under the name Lathyrus oleraceus (garden pea). Its description in RNAcentral is "Pisum sativum (pea) long non-coding RNA (PSAT_LNC005445)". The record is from RNAcentral. Lineage: Eukaryota; Viridiplantae; Streptophyta; Magnoliopsida; Fabales; Fabaceae.